UUGGUAUGUAUGUCCAGAGGCGUAGCCCGCACGACGAGGUGAGUAAUGCCUGGGGGAUCUGCCCAGUCGGGGGGGAUAACUACUGGAAACGGUAGCUAAUACCGCAUAACGCCCUACGGGGAAAGCGGGGGACCUUCGGGCCUCAUGCCAUUGGAUGAACCCAGGUGGGAUUAUCUAGUUGGUGAGGUAAUGGCUCACCAGGGCCACUAUCCCUAUCUGGUCUGAGAGGAUGAUCACCCACUCUGGAACUGACACACGGUCCACACUCCUACGGGAGGCAGCAGGGGGGAAUAUUGCACAGUGGGGGAAACCCUGAUGCACCCAUGCCGCGUGUGUGAAGAAGGCCUUCGGGUUGUAAAGCACUUUCAGCGAGGAGGAAAGGGGUAAGGCUAAUAACCUUGCCGCUUGACGUUACUCGCAAAAAAAGCACCGGCUAACUCCGUGCCAGCAGCCGCGGUAAUACGGAGGGUGCAAGCGUUAAUCGGAAUUACUGGGCGUAAAGCGCACGCAGGCGGUUGGAUAAGUUAUAUGUGAAACCCCCGGGCUCAACCUGGGAAUUGCAUUUAAAACUGUCCAGCUAGAGUCUUGUAGAGGGGGGUAAAAUUCCAGGUGUAGCGGUGAAAUGCGUAGAGAUCUGGAGGAAUACCGGUGGCAAAGGCGGCCCCCUGGACAAACACUGACGCUCAGGUGCAAAAGCGGGGGGAGCAAACGAGAUUAUAUCCCCUGGUUGUCCACCCCAUAAACAAUGUCGUUUUGGAGGCUGUGUCCUUGAGACGUGGCCUCCGGAGCUAACGCGUUAAAUCCACCCCCUGGGGGAGUACGGCCGCAAGGUUAAAACUCAAAUGAAUUGACGGGGGCCCCGCACAAGCGGGGGAGCAUGGGGUUUUAUUUCGAUGCCACCCGAAAAACCUUACCUGGUCUUGACAUCCCAGGAAUCCUGAAAAAAAUCGGGAGUGCCUUCGAAAACGCUAAAACAGGUGCUGCAUGUCUUUCCUCAAC
Molecule: ribosomal RNA, 999 nt
Filed under: Edwardsiella tarda
Lineage: Bacteria; Pseudomonadati; Pseudomonadota; Gammaproteobacteria; Enterobacterales; Hafniaceae
Description: partial 16S ribosomal RNA
Rfam family: Bacterial small subunit ribosomal RNA
Source: RNAcentral